RNAcentral lists this ribosomal RNA (254 nucleotides) under uncultured bacterium. Its description in RNAcentral is "partial 16S ribosomal RNA". It matches the Rfam family "Bacterial small subunit ribosomal RNA", at positions 524 to 776 of the family's 1533-position model. The record is from RNAcentral.
UACGUAGGGUGCGAGCGUUAAUCGGAAUUACUGGGCGUAAAGCGUGCGCAGGCGGUUAUGCAAGACAGAUGUGAAAUCCCCGGGCUCAACCUGGGAACUGCAUUUGUGACUGCAUGGCUGGAGUGCGGCAGAGGGGGAUGGAAUUCCGCGUGUAGCAGUGAAAUGCGUAGAUAUGCGGAGGAACACCGAUGGCGAAGGCAAUCCCCCUGGGCCUGCACUGACGCUCAUGCACGAAAGCGUGGGGAGCAAACAGG